AGACAGCAGUCGCCGCGGUAAUACGAAGGGUGCAAGCGUUAAUCGGAAUUACUGGGCGUAAAGCGUGCGUAGGCGGUGAGUUAAGUCUGCUGUGAAAUCCCCGGGCUCAACCUGGGAAUGGCAGUGGAUACUGGCUCGCUAGAGUGUGUCAGAGGAUGGUGGAAUUCCCGGUGUAGCGGUGAAAUGCGUAGAGAUCGGGAGGAACAUCAGUGGCGAAGGCGGCCAUCUGGGACAACACUGACGCUGAGGCACGAAAGCGUGGGGAGCAAACAGGAUUAGAUACCCCCGUAGUCCCUGUCUCUUAUAC
RNAcentral lists this ribosomal RNA (307 nucleotides) under uncultured bacterium. Its description in RNAcentral is "partial 16S ribosomal RNA". It matches the Rfam family "Bacterial small subunit ribosomal RNA", at positions 506 to 807 of the family's 1533-position model. The record is from RNAcentral.